AGCACCACUGUCCGAGGUUUACAGAGUGUUUGAUCCACUGGGAGGAGAUCCUACAAAAGAUCAAACUGGAAUAAAGGACACACUUUACAACCCAUAAGAUGUGACAUUGAGAUCUGCUCAGAAAAAAGAAUUCCUAAUGGAAAGCACACUUGACUUGGAGACUUGGAGGCAGUGGAAGUAGCCUCAAGUUGUGGCUGAGAUUAGCAAACUGAAGUUCAAAGAAUUGGAUAACCUAGCCCAAGAUCAGACCUUUGGAGAAUGAAAGAAUCUGGAUUUGCACCCGGAACUUACUGGCUUCCACCUCUAAACACCAGCUUCCCUGUUCCAACUUUUCUAAAGUUGAAUGUUCUUCAUACAAAUAUCAGCAGGAAGACAUUGAGGCACAAAAUAAAUGGGGUAUUGUAUGAGAAUGCCUAGCUUUCAAUGAGCUUAUGUCUCCAAGCUUGGACAAAUUCCGGCUGGGGUACCAACAGAAUUUAUAUAUGAGAAGACUGUUGGCAGCUUUUCAGGGACUGUGGGGCCGGGGAGAGACGCCAGAAGACUGUGGCUGGGUACACACUAUUCCAUUUUGUGAAAAGGGGAAGAAGGUUGAUUCUGCAAACCAUAGAUGCCAGAGUCCUGGGCAAAGUUCUUGAAGGGCAUCCUAUAAACAUAAAAAAAGGGAAGUCAUUGCUAGGCACCAACAAGUUUUCAUUGAGAAGAGAUUAUUCCAAAUGAACCUAACUUCCAUUUCUCAUAAGGUGAAAAAUUGGUAUGGCUUUAUUUAGACAAUACAUUUUGCUCAUUUUCA
Molecule: long non-coding RNA, 790 nt
Filed under: Homo sapiens (human)
Lineage: Eukaryota; Metazoa; Chordata; Mammalia; Primates; Hominidae
Description: HSALNT0107196
Source: RNAcentral